RNAcentral lists this ribosomal RNA (301 nucleotides) under uncultured bacterium. RNAcentral's name for it is "partial 16S ribosomal RNA". It matches the Rfam family "Bacterial small subunit ribosomal RNA", at positions 509 to 809 of the family's 1533-position model. The record is from RNAcentral.
CAGUAGCCACGGGAAAACGCAGGUGGCAAGCGUUGUCCGGAAUUAUUGGGCGUAAAGCGCGCGCAGGCGGAUAGGUCAGUCUGUCUUAAAAGUUCGGGGCUUAACCCCGUGAUGAGAUGGAAACUGCCAAUCUAGAGUAUCGGAGAGGAAAGUGGAAUUCCUAGUGUAGCGGUGAAAUGCGUAGAUAUUAGGAAGAACACCAGUGGCGAAGGCGACUUUCUGGACGAAAACUGACGCUGAGGCGCGAAAGCCAGGGGAGCGAACGGGAUUAGAGACCCCCGUAGUCCCUGUCUCUUAUACA